Molecule: small RNA, 4072 nt
Filed under: Pongo abelii (Sumatran orangutan)
Lineage: Eukaryota; Metazoa; Chordata; Mammalia; Primates; Hominidae
Description: retained intron
Source: RNAcentral
AGAGCUAGGAAUGGGACCCAGAUAUGACUGAUCCUAGUUCUGUUCCAAAACCGUGCUGUAUUAUAUUAAUGUAAGAUAUGUUCUUAUCAUUAUUGAAUCAAGGCAAGUCGCCCACUGCACCUUGGUUCCUGGAUCCAGCAGCCAAAACUUGGGUCUCCCUAAGCACUGCUGACCUAGCGGAGUGGAAGGAAGUUCCCAGGAACCAAGACAGUAGCACUCGGCUCCAUCGUCCCGGGACUGGGAAACACUAGAUCUGUUGGCAGCAGAAGUUGGACUAUAGUCAUUGAAAAGUGCCAGAUGGGUAGAGUCCUUUCUCUAGGAUGUCAGUAUCCCAGAACCCUCUUCUGAGGAAGAGACUCUGUGGGUACCCAGAGUCUCUUCCCCUGCCUCUUCCCUACCCCGCGCCUAGGUCCCCACCCUUCCCUAGUAGAGCUCCGCGGAACGCAGUCCAGGCGGGGCCGGGGCUAGGGACCUUGCCAGGGCUAGUUCUGUGUCGCGCGUCAGAAGCGCUAGAGGUCGUUGCGUGGCGUGGGUGGCUCGGGGAGUGGGUGGCUGAGCGGAGCUGGGGUCCCUGGCCAGAGGCGGAACAAAAUGGGGUCAUGGCCAGGAAGACGCGCUAACGCAGUAAGAGUCACCGAGAGGGCCGGAACUGCCGGAACUGCCGAAGACCCGAGAUGGGAGAGAGUGCAGGCUGGGGAGAGUCUGCAGAGAUUGAUGAUGGCGGAAGAAAGCGCAGAAACAGACAAGGGACACACCCACAGAAACAUAUAUAGAUUGAGAAAGCCGGGUGCGGGUGGGAAGGUGAGGGUGGUCAGAUGAAUCAAGAUAGGUUGGGGGAGAGGGAGAAGGAUCCAGAAAUGGACAGAGAUGAGUCAGAGAAACAGAGACAGAGGACAGACACUGUCAGGGAAGGUAGAGGCAUAGAGAAGAGGGACACAGGGAAAGGAAGAUAUUUAGGGAGGGACUAGGAGAGAAGGAAAGAACAAAAAAUAAUAGUGGGAGUAGAAACAGAAUGGAACAGACAGAAGAGAAGACACCCAGACAGCUGGCUCUUCCCACUGUACACUUUGUCACCUUUCCCCAGGCCUACCCUCUGAAGAGGUCCAAGCAACGGAAGUACUACUACGAAGCUGCCUUUCUGGCCAUCCUUGAGAAAAACAGACAGAUGGCCAAGGAGAGGGGCCUAAUAAGCCCCAGUGAUUUUGCCCAGCUGCAAAAAUACAUGGAAUGUGAGUCUUCCUGUCAGGCCUUCAGUUCGGGAGACCCUGCCCCAGAGAAUCCCUCCUCCUCAUCAUUACACCCCCUGCCCCCAGCUUCCUCAGUGGCUUUGAGCAGUGUGCUGCUCAGAUGUGCCCAUGACUGGAAAUGGGAGGAGUGGGAGAUGGGGAGAUGUCAGAAAAAGAUCCGGAUCUACCACAGUCUAACUGGGCUGCAUUGUGCAAGGUCUCAGCUCUCUACCCACCUUCGCUAUACCUGGACUGCUUGCUCCAGCUCUCAGAGAAGAGGAGUAAAGAGUGGUACUGUUUUGGAGGAUCUGAAAUAUUUUUUCCUCUGUAUUUCUGUGUUUCUUCUUGGAAUUUCUUCAUCUCAUUUGAAUCUUUUUUCCUGCUGGAUUUCUCUGGCAGGAGAACUCAGCUGGACUAAUAAUGCUGUUCUCUUACUCUCUCUACACCCUAGACUCCACCAAAAAGGUCAGUGAUGUCCUAAAGCUCUUCGAGGAUGGCGAGAUGGCUAAAUAUGUCCAAGGAGAUGCCAUUGGGUACGAGGGAUUCCAGCAAUUCCUGAAAAUCUAUCUGGAAGUGGAUAAUGUCCCCAGACACCUAAGCCUGGCACUGUUUCAAUCCUUUGAGACUGGUCACUGCUUAAAUGAGACAAAUGUGACAAAAGAUGUGGUGUGUCUCAGUGAUGUUUCCUGCUACUUUUCCCUUCUGGAGGGUGGUCGGCCAGAAGACAAGUUAGAAUUCACCUUCAAGCUGUACGACACGGACAGAAAUGGGAUCCUGGACAGCUCAGAAGUGGACAAAAUUAUCCUACAGAUGAUGCGAGUGGCUGAAUACCUGGAUUGGGAUGUGUCUGAGCUGAGGCCGAUUCUUCAGGAGAUGAUGAAAGAGAUUGACUAUGAUGGGAGUGGCUCUGUCUCUCAAGCUGAGUGGGUCCGGGCUGGGGCCACCACCGUGCCACUGCUAGUGCUGCUGGGUCUGGAGAUGACUCUGAAGGACGAUGGACAGCACAUGUGGAGGCCCAAGAGGUUCCCCAGACCAGUCUACUGCAAUCUGUGCGAGUCAAGCAUUGGUCUUGGCAAACAGGGACUGAGCUGUAACCUCUGUAAGUACACUGUUCACGACCAGUGUGCCAUGAAAGCCCUGCCUUGUGAAGUCAGCACCUAUGCCAAGUCUCGGAAGGACAUUGGUCCAAUCACAUGUGUGGGUGCGAGGAGGCUGUGAGUCCGGGCGCUGCGACCGCUGUCAGAAAAAGAUCCGGAUCUACCACAGUCUGACGGGGCUGCAUUGUGUAUGGUGCCACCUAGAGAUCCACGAUGACUGCCUGCAAGCGGUGGGCCAUGAGUGUGACUGUGGGCUGCUCCGGGAUCACAUCCUGCCUCCAUCUUCCAUCUAUCCCAGUGUCCUGGCCUCUGGACCGGAUCGUAAAAAUAGCAAAACAAGCCAGAAGACCAUGGAUGAUUUAAAUUUGAGCACCUCUGAGGCUCUGCGGAUUGACCCUGUUCCUAACACCCACCCACUUCUCGUCUUUGUCAAUCCUAAGAGUGGCGGGAAGCAGGGGCAGAGGGUGCUCUGGAAGUUCCAGUAUAUAUUAAACCCUCGACAGGUGUUCAACCUCCUAAAGGAUGGUCCUGAGAUAGGGCUCCGAUUAUUCAAGGAUGUUCCUGUUAGCCGGAUUUUGGUGUGUGGUGGAGACGGCACAGUAGGCUGGAUUCUAGAGACCAUUGACAAAGCUAACUUGCCGGUUUUGCCUCCUGUUGCUGUGUUGCCCCUGGGUACUGGAAAUGAUCUGGCUCGAUGCCUAAGAUGGGGAGGAGGGUAUGAAGGACAGAAUCUGGCAAAGAUCCUCAAGGAUUUAGAGAUGAGUAAAGUGGUACAUAUGGAUCGAUGGUCUGUGGAGGUGAUACCUCAACAAACUGAAGAAAAAAGUGACCCAGUCCCCUUUCAGAUCAUCAAUAACUACUUCUCUAUUGGUGUGGAUGCCUCUAUUGCUCAUCGAUUCCACAUCAUGCGAGAGAAAUAUCCGGAGAAGUUCAACAGCAGAAUGAAGAACAAGCUAUGGUACUUCGAAUUUGCCACAUCUGAAUCCAUCUUCUCAACAUGCAAAAAGCUGGAGGAGUCUUUGACAGUUGAGAUCUGUGGGAAACCGCUGGAUCUGAGCAACCUGUCCCUAGAAGGCAUCGCAGUGCUAAACAUCCCUAGCAUGCAUGGUGGCUCCAACCUCUGGGGUGAUACCAGGAGACCCCAUGGGGAUAUCUAUGGGAUCAACCAGGCCUUAGGUGCUACAGCUAAAGUCAUCACCGACCCUGAUAUCCUGAAAACCUGUGUACCAGACCUAAGUGACAAGAGACUGGAAGUGGUCGGGCUGGAGGGUGCAAUUGAGAUGGGCCAAAUCUAUACCAAGCUCAAGAAUGCCGGACGUCGGCUGGCCAAGUGCUCUGAGAUCACCUUCCACACCACAAAAACCCUUCCCAUGCAAAUUGAUGGAGAACCCUGGAUGCAGACGCCCUGUACAAUCAAGAUCACCCACAAGAACCAGAUGCCCAUGCUCAUGGGCCCACCCCCCCGCUCCACCAAUUUCUUUGGCUUCUUGAGCUAAGGGGGACACCCUUGGCCUCCAAGCCAGCCUUGAACCCACCUCCCUGUCCCUGGACUGUACUCCCAAGGCUCUGUAUAUUGCUGCCACAUACUCCUGCCAGCUUGGGGGAGUGUUCCUUCACCCUCACAGUAUUUAUUAUCCUGCACCACCUCACUGUUCCCCAUGGGCACACACAUACACACACCCCAAAACACAUACAUUGAAAGUGCCUCAUCUGAAUAAAAUGACUUGUGUUUCCCCUUUGGGAUCUGCU